AACUGAUACUACCUGCGGGAACCUGCGGAAGGAUCAUUAUUGAAUUAUGUUUCUAAAUGGGUCGUAGCUGGCUCGUCAGAGCAUGUGCACGCCUGUUUGGACUUCAUUUUCAUCCACCUGUGCACCUAUUGUAGUCUUUGGUUGGGUAUCGAGGAAGUGGUCAGCCUAUCAGCACUUGCUGGAUGUGAGGACUUGCAGUGUGAAAGCUUUGCUGUCCUUUACUUGAUCAUGGAGCUGUUU
RNAcentral lists this unclassified non-coding RNA (240 nucleotides) under soil metagenome. RNAcentral's name for it is "partial contains 5.8S ribosomal RNA, internal transcribed spacer 2, and large subunit ribosomal RNA". The record is from RNAcentral.